CUUGGAAUUGCCACUAACCAGGACCAGUAGGGAAUCCUGACUUGCUGUCAGCAGGAGGUUCUCAUUCAGUCCCCCAGAACUGAUCCGUGCUCCCUCAUCCAGUGCUGUGGCAGCAGAGGAGCAAUCUGACAAAAUGGCAUCUGACAGUGGAAUUGCUUAUGGAGAAAAGGUGUGUUGUUGAAAUCUUUCAUGUGGAAAAAGUGGCACCCAUUGACAUUCACUGAUACUUGCUGAACGUUUCUGGAGACCAAACAGUGGCUGUGAGCACAGUGAGGGGAUGAGAAGGUGAAGGGAAAUCCUUAAGACCACUCUUCAAGUGGAGGAAGCAGGAUAGAAGACUCAUAAUCAUGUCCUAACAGCGCUUCCAUGACUGAGAGAUAAUGGACACAUCUGCAUCAUGAUCAAAAUAUCUAGCAUAGUGGUCCAUGAUCCAUCACUGUGCUCCCAAGGUGCUCCUGCAAGACAGAUUUCAGCCACCGUUCCCUUUGUAUAGGUACCUUUACCUGUGAAUCUGAAGAGAAUGCUGUGUGGACUGUGAAUUCCUGUCAGAAGACACGGUAAGUAUUUGGACAGCUAAUUCAUGCAGGUCCCUGAGCUACCACUGCUAGUAUUAAGCUCACUAGUUAAAGCCGCUUUAGAUGAAUGCAGCUACAGCAGAAGCUGAAUGAUAAAUAUUCCCAAAUGUAACCAAACAAACUGGCAAACUCUGAAUAAAUAUAUGAAAUACAUCGUAGUAGUCACAAACUCUGCUUGUUACUCUCAAGAGGAAUAAAUUUUGUUUAGGGCCACAAACCAGGCCCUCUUUUACAGCAUUUUGGAUUUUAUGCUACCUUACAAGCGCAAAAGGACAAUAAAGCAAUGGUAAAUAUUCAAAAAUUACUUUACCGUGGACUGUGUUAUCUCACUUAUAUCUUUCUAUCCUACCCCUAAGGUCAGACAUACAGGGUGGUUUUUACACACUGUGCUUGUGCACCGGUGACAUCUGGAUGAAAACGAGACAUAUAGCUAUAGGAUGUUGUAAAAAAAACGUCAGCCAUUCUUUUCAUGUUGUAAAAGACAAUAACAAAUGGAGUUGUCAAUGGUAGUAAUCCCAUCCAUGUAUAAAUCCCAGAAGACUAGAAACAGCGUUCUUGGAAAUGUUGUCAUCCCAAAAAAUCCAAGCAUAGAAGAUAAAGCUGUUCAAAGGAGCUGGUCUUCCACCUGGUAGUAGAGAUCAGUCAUCCUUGACUUAAAAUCCAAUAAAAUUGGAUUCUACUUAGUCCAAUAGGAAUAGCUCUUGUUCUCAAUGUCUAACAUGAAGUGGUCCAUCAGAUGGACACCACAGUUCACCUUUGCAUUCCAGCUACACAAACAGUUAUGAAAGGAACUUCUUACGACUGCAGAGAAGCUGCCAGGAGAGAGCUGGGAAGCAGACAGGCAGUUCUGCUUACUGGAACUCAUCUGUGUGAAUUUGCUUUAGCUGCCAUGCAAUGUUCAGAAGAUAUAAGAAAAUGACAGUUUACUCAGAGAAAGGAGAUAAAAGGACAUCCAUGG
Gallus gallus (chicken) is the source of this 1533-nucleotide long non-coding RNA. The record is from Ensembl. Lineage: Eukaryota; Metazoa; Chordata; Aves; Galliformes; Phasianidae.